RNAcentral lists this long non-coding RNA (1135 nucleotides) under Homo sapiens (human). RNAcentral describes it as "HSALNT0238627". Lineage: Eukaryota; Metazoa; Chordata; Mammalia; Primates; Hominidae. The record is from RNAcentral.
CAUGUCCCUCAGCUCCCAUCCCCUCCUUCUUCCCUGCCCUGAGAGCCAUCCGGGUUUCCUUUCCAGUCUCCCUCUGCUCCUGUGCUUUCUUCCCCUUCCCUCACUUCCCCUGCUCUGUCUUCUCCUCAGUUCCCCGCCCUCCCUCUCUGCACCUGCCCAGUUUCCCCCAUCUCCCCUCCAUGCUCCCUUCCUCCCCAGCUCCUGAGUUGGACCACCUCAGCUCAGCGCCCUACUUCCUGUGCCUGCCCCUGCCUGCUGCCCACCAUCCCUGCACACAGCUCACUCCUCCCUCUGGCCCUCCUGCUGAGCAGGCGGCUCCCCCACUGCCCUGGGCCUGCCCACCUUCCCCAGCCCCCGCAGUCAAGGCUCUCCAACUCCACACCACCGGGGUGAGGGCAGAGAGGCACCCUCUCCAGGGCUGCGCUUCCUCCAGCAGGGCCUGUGUCCUCACCUCCAACGUGAAGAUCAGGCUGGGCCAUUAUUGCAGAGCUGUGCUGAGUGUUGAAGAAGGAGCCAGCUGAGGAGGUGUGUCAUGCAACUUGCCCCCCCAGCCCUCCCCUUCUAAGGAACCCCCACACCUGCUCUGUCUUCCUGCUACAGUCUCUGAGAAAAGCCCUUUCAUCUGUCAAGAACUACAAAAGUCAUUCUUUAAGGGUCUCUGGCUGCUCUUGAGUCGAAGACAGAUUCUUGUCCUGUUUGCUGCCCUCUGUAGCCUGUGAGCAGAACCAGAAGGGACACUCUCACAGCCUGUUCGCCACGGAAUCCAGGAGGCAGGUCCAUUUUGGUGGCUGUCUCCACAACAUGGCUUUUUCCCCUUGAAGACCAUCAGAAGAGCCUGUAUCUCCGCAUCUGCGGAAAUCGUCUUUGCCAUGUAAUGUGCCAUAACCAUGGGAGUGACAUCGCAUCACAUCCCAGGGCCACCGCUGAGGAGGAGGGUGAGGAUCUUGACCCUUAUCUUAGAAUUCUGCCCUGCCUGGCUUCCACUUGUCCUCUUCUAAAUCUAUCUUAACUCAUUCCUUUGGUGCCUGUUUUUACUGCCUUAAUUUUGGCAAUAAAGGGAGGAAUAAAAACACAUCUUUUUUUUCUUUUUUUGAAUUCUCAUUACAUCCACACACAAGAAAUGUGUCACAUGAAG